CAGCAUUCUCAUUACUGAUGCAGCGCGGCCCACUGUCAGCUGUGCUGCCAGGGACAUUUGGUGGCGGAGAAAGUGACCAGGCUCCCAUGAGUAUCCCGUCCACCCGGGGCUCUUCAGCACCCGCUAAUUAUUCUUCGCACCUAAUAUGAGAAGGAGAAGGAGGAGAGACAGAUGAGAGAGGGACAGAGUGAGUGAGAAAGAGAGGGAGGAGAGACUGGCGACCAGCGGGACUUGUGCUUUCUUACAGGAACAAUGAAUCACAUGUAGCCGCCACCUGUCCUGUGUUGUCCCUUCUGCUGCUUUCGCAAAUUGCUGACAGGAUGACUGUGUUUGUACAGUACCGAGCCAGCCGGGGCUGCUGUGAUGGUAGCCACAGAGGAUGGGUACCAUUCCUCUGUGUCUGUGUGUCGGUCUUCGUCACUCAGGUCCAACCUUGGACAACAUCCUGAGGCAUCAGUGAUAUUUGGCCAAGGACAGAUGGAACUGGCCCUCAUUAAAAAUGGCCAUGCAUGGCAGUGCAUGCUGGGAGCUGUUCCGAUGGCAACCAUUGAUCCUUGACACCGACCGGCGAUAUAGAAUUGGGUUUAAUGAAUUCACAGAACAAAGUGACAAAGAUUAGAGAGCAAAGUAGGGAGAAAUGGAGCGACAGUAAGAGACAGAUAAAAAAUUAAG
RNAcentral lists this long non-coding RNA (672 nucleotides) under Scophthalmus maximus (turbot). RNAcentral describes it as "lncRNA (ENSSMAG00000028439.1)". The record is from RNAcentral. Lineage: Eukaryota; Metazoa; Chordata; Actinopteri; Pleuronectiformes; Scophthalmidae.